RNAcentral lists this transfer RNA (69 nucleotides) under Pavoraja nitida (peacock skate). RNAcentral's name for it is "tRNA-Pro". It matches the Rfam family "tRNA". Rfam says of the family: Transfer RNA (tRNA) molecules are approximately 80 nucleotides in length. Their secondary structure includes four short double-helical elements and three loops (D, anti-codon, and T loops). Lineage: Eukaryota; Metazoa; Chordata; Chondrichthyes; Rajiformes; Arhynchobatidae. The record is from RNAcentral.
CAGGAUAUAGUUUAAGCAAAAUCUUGGCUUUGGGAGUCAAGGAUGAGAGUUCAAUCCUCUUUAUUCUGA